Molecule: long non-coding RNA, 1591 nt
Organism: Danio rerio (zebrafish)
Lineage: Eukaryota; Metazoa; Chordata; Actinopteri; Cypriniformes; Danionidae
Source: Ensembl
UAGUUAUUGCUUUAUCUUAUUGCUUUCCAGAAGUUUAUGAAGUUUUCAAUUGUAUUUCAGGACAAGAUUGAACAACAGAAUGCAGCCUAACAGCAUCAGACCAAUGAAGGCAUGUCAUAUGAAAGCAUGGCUCAGUUACAAGAUGUAAGUAUGUCUCAUUAUCUAUACCAUGGUUUUAAUGGCUUACAUACUAUUUUAAAUUUGUAGGUUUUUACUUACAAACAACAAUAAAUGUACACCCACGUGUUUAAAAUUAUUUUCUAGGUUUUCAUCGAAAGAUGAGAGAUCAACUGAAGAAUGCUAUGGUCCUGACUCUAAGGUGCUCUUUCUAAACUUUCUCCACUUGAUUAAUAUUAUUAAAUUCUAGCUUUGUAUGGAUUCCUUCAUAUUUGUUUGUAUGCCACAUCUUAUGUUCCAGGAAUUGAUUUUACAGCAGCACUUCUCAUGUUGCCAGCCUUGUUAAGCGAGACACUUCAACAUUUCGUUGUGCUCCGGUGCGUAUGUUGUUUUCUGUUUAGUAUAUGCUGUGAUAAAUGCAUUUUAUAAUUCUUGAUAUUCUUUAUAUUAGGAUGACGCAGUGGGUAGUGCUGUCACCUUACAGCAAGAAGGUCGCUGGUUCGAGCCUCAGCUGGGUCAGUUGGCAUUUGUGUGAGGAGUUUGCAUAUUCUUACAGUGUUCGUGAGGGUUUCCUCCAAGUGCUCCGGUUUCCCCACAAUGAACCAUCUUCACCACAUCCAACAGUUCAAGUGCAGGAGGAGGCCACCAACUGGACAACUGUGUUAACAAGACGAGUCACGGCAGUCUUCAGAGUUGAUGGGAUUGUGAUUGGCCGGGCUAAUGAUGUGGACGAAAAUACAUUUUUGGCAUAUCCAUCUUAUUAGAAGAUCACCUUGAUGUUUCUGCAGUGGAAUGUUUUGAAUGAACGGUGGACGGUGACAAGCCUGGAUCUACUCCAGUUACCAAAGUGAUCAACCUUGUUUUUUGUUUCUCUACAUGCUCUUGGGAUAAUCACAAUAAUCAAGUUAAUCCAGCACACUGCUCUCAUUCAUGCAUAAAGCAAAAUUUUAAAUAACUUGUGGUCCUAAUGACAAAGAACAUUUUCCAGUUAUGAGUGCUUUACAUGUCAUGUUUAUCAAAAGCAUAAACACAUAUUGUGUUACAACAAAUUACAACUCCACUUGAGGAUGAUGAGGAGUAAUCUACUGAUGUUGAGGAAGAGGCUACUGAUGUUUUUGGUUUUCUGCACUGUUGAAGCAAUUUAUAGAGAAACUUUGCCUUCAUUCUGAAAUACAGAGAAAAUUUUGAUGACAAAUUAUUUAUUAUGACUGAGUAUUCUGACUCAAGACAAAUACUUUGGACUUUAUAAAGUGAAGUACUUGAUGUAGCCUGUGUAAUGUGUUUAUAAAUCUUAAACAGUAUUCUUGUGGUCUUUGUAUUAAGGGUAGAUUAUAUACUGUACAGUGAGUGAACAGUUUUUAUUCUUAUCUAAAUUGUUCUUUUUACUGUUUUACAUGUCUGCUUUAUACUUGCUGUGUAAUUUUAUUCCUUAACACAUUCAGUUGUGAGUUGUAAUGAAAUAUUUCUACAUUAG